AUGGAAGGGAAAGGGAAUAAGCUGGUCUUCCAACAGAAUGCCACGAAGUAUGUGGCGGAGCAGGUCACUGGGGCAGAAAUUCCCCGGAGACCCCAAGAGACCGUCAGUGCGUCCCCACAAGAUUCUGCAUCCGAGAACCUGUUUAGAGGCGGGGGCUCCUCUGCGAAGCACCCCCCGCCUCCCAGGCCGCCCGGUGCUUCCGGCGCCGCCCCAGUUUUCUCCAACUGCUGCAAACACCGGGCGCGGGCGGGGUGGUCUGCGCGACGAAGGGAAAUGACCUUCAAGGUCAGAAGCAAACCUUGGUUUCGACCCUCAGCUGGCCACUGCAUCGGAGUCGCUGUCGCUAGUGCCUUACACACACGGCUGACUUUCUCAAUCUCUGGAUCUCUACGUGGCCACGGUGUAAGGCGCUCGGAAGAGAAAUCCCAAGACUGCACUAGAGGAAGAGCGUCUCCUACCCCCUGUGUUCUCCAGGUUUUUGAGUGUCUUUUUGAUAAAGCCUCAUUUCAAUUCCCCUUUUCCUGCCUCCUCUGCUCACUUUCGUCCAUUUCUUUUGAUCCUGGUUUCCUAUGCUGGGAUCACAGUGCAGUGGCUGGCUAAGGAGGCUUAGGCAAUGAGAAAGUGUUGUAUCUCCUCAAGGUGUUCCCCACGGUGGGUAAUGGGAGAAACGGUCACCGUCCUUCUGAGUCAUCUGGACGUGGCUACAAUCACACUUACAAUUCUACUAUUGCUACACUAUUUGGAGCCUGGAAAAUUUCCCCACAUGUGUUGUUACGACAUUACAGUUAACUCCUGCAAGGUCUCCCAAUUAAUAGGGGACACUUGUGAUCCAUUAAACAUAACCAAGAUAUCCACUGCUAUUUGAAAAAAUUGGUAAUUGGGGGUCUUAUCUAAUCUAUCACAAUUUGGAGCCUAACUUGUUUCAUGUUUCUCCUUUUGCAUGUGCUGAUGCAUGUACCAUUUGCUGGCCAUCGUGCCCCCCUGGAGCCAUACUGCAAGCCCCUGGACCGACUCCUGGAUUGAUUCCAACUGCCUCAUAGCCCACCGCCCCAUUUCAGCAGGAAGCAGCCAGAGUUGUCAUGCUCUGGUCCCUGAAGGCAGUCCUUACUAUUCCAGGGGGAGGGAGGAGGGAGGAUCAGGUGGGGCUAGGUAGGGAGAGAUAGAAAGGGGGCUAUGUGAUCAGGCUCACAGAAAUCCCAAAAAAGUGGAGGUGUGGGGAAACCACAGGGAAGAGGACAAACCGGACCACCCUACCCUAAGGGUGUGAGGUGGGUAGUGUCUCUACAGAUAACCACUGUGACCAACAAAGAAUAACCAGGCCCUAAAAAGGAAGUAAGCCAUGGAAGGUGUUAUCAAUAGAGAUGUUAAAAGGAUUUAAGUUCCCUGAUUAGCUUUCUAGAAAAGACAAACCCUAAAGGCCCUCAUUGGCAACCCAGUUAGGACCCCUCUCACUCUUGAGAGCUUUUUCUGUAUCUUCACUUAAUAAACUUCUAUCACUGUAGUAAAAUAAAUAAAUNNNNNNNNNNNNNNNNNNNNNNNNNNNNNNNNNNNNNNNNNNN
RNAcentral lists this long non-coding RNA (1559 nucleotides) under Mustela putorius furo (domestic ferret). RNAcentral describes it as "lncRNA (ENSMPUG00000025064.1)". Lineage: Eukaryota; Metazoa; Chordata; Mammalia; Carnivora; Mustelidae. The record is from RNAcentral.